GACGAACGCUGGCGGCGUGCCUAAUACAUGCAAGUAGAACGCUGAAGGAGGAGCUUGCUUCUCUGGAUGAGUUGCGAACGGGUGAGUAACGCGUAGGUAACCUGCCUGGUAGCGGGGGAUAACUAUUGGAAACGAUAGCUAAUACCGCAUAAUAGUAGAUGUUGCAUGACAUUUACUUAAAAGGUGCAAUUGCAUCACUACCAGAUGGACCUGCGUUGUAUUAGCUAGUUGGUGGGGUAACGGCUCACCAAGGCGACGAUACAUAGCCGACCUGAGAGGGUGAUCGGCCACACUGGGACUGAGACACGGCCCAGACUCCUACGGGAGGCAGCAGUAGGGAAUCUUCGGCAAUGGACGAAAGUCUGACCGAGCAACGCCGCGUGAGUGAAGAAGGUUUUCGGAUCGUAAAGCUCUGUUGUAAGAGAAGAACGAGUGUGAGAGUGGUAAGUUCACACUGUGACGGUAUCUUACCAGAAAGGGACGGCUAACUACGUG
This 495-nucleotide ribosomal RNA is filed under the name uncultured bacterium. Its description in RNAcentral is "partial 16S ribosomal RNA". It matches the Rfam family "Bacterial small subunit ribosomal RNA", at positions 28 to 507 of the family's 1533-position model. The record is from RNAcentral.